GCAGUGUGAAAAUUACCCCAGGUGUGUCUGUCAUUUUGGGUAAGAUAACUGUGCCGACAGCAAAAAGGUGCAUUAAGCUCACUGCCUGCUUGCAUGCAGUGAAACCCAUGUGCCCACAGUG
Small nucleolar RNA from Paramormyrops kingsleyae, 121 nucleotides. Ensembl annotates it as small nucleolar RNA ACA64. Lineage: Eukaryota; Metazoa; Chordata; Actinopteri; Osteoglossiformes; Mormyridae. The record is from Ensembl.